Molecule: long non-coding RNA, 5799 nt
Organism: Brienomyrus brachyistius
Lineage: Eukaryota; Metazoa; Chordata; Actinopteri; Osteoglossiformes; Mormyridae
Exons: 7
Source: RefSeq, a predicted model, not a curated record
CCCAUUACAUACCUCAUACACAAGGUAACUGGGGACAGUAGACCCCCCCCCAUAACACCUCAUACACAAGGUAACUGGGGACAGUAGGUCCCCCCCCAUAACACAUCUCAUACACAAGGUAACUGGGGACAGUAGGUCCCCCCCCCCAUAACACCUCAUACACAAGGUAACUGGGGACAGUAGGUCCCCCCCCCAUUACACACCUCAAACACAAGGUAACUAGGGACAGUAGACCCCCCCCCAUAACACCUCAAACACAAGGUAACUGGGGACAGUAGGUCCCCCCCCCCCAUAACACCUCAUACACAAGGUAACUGGGGACAGUAGGUCCCCCCCCAUAACACAUCUCAUACACAAGGUAACUGGGGACAGUAGGUCCCCCCCCCCCAUAACACCUCAAACACAAGGUAACUAGGGACAGUAGACCCCCCCCCAUAACACCUCAAACACAAGGUAACUGGGGACAGUAGGUCCCCCCCCCCAUAACACCUCAUACACAAGGUAACUGGGGACAGUAGGUCCCCCCCAUAACACCUCAUACACAAGGUAACUGGGGACAGUAGGUCCCCCCCCCCAUAACACCUCAUACACAAGGUAACUGGGGACAGUAGACCCCCCCCCAUAACACCUCAUACACAAGGUAACUGGGGACAGUAGACCCCCCCCCCAUAACACCUCAUACACAAGGUAACUGGGGACAGUAGGUCCCCCCCCAUAACACAUCUCAUACACAAGGUAACUGGGGACAGUAGACCCCCCCCCAUAACACCUCAUACACAAGGUAACUGGGGACAGUAGACCCCCCCAUAACACCUCAUACACAAGGUAACUGGGGACAGUAGGUCCCCCCCCCAUAACACCUCAUACACAAGGUAACUGGGGACAGUAGGUCCCCCCCCCCAUAACACCUCAUACACAAGGUAACUGGGGACAGUAGACCCCCCCCCCCCCAUAACACCUCAUAUACAAGGUAACUGGGAAUAGUAGACCCCCCAUAACACCUCAUACACAAGGUAACUGGGGACAGUAGAUCCCCCCAUAACACCUAAUAGGCAAGGUAACUGGGGACAGUAGACCCUCCCAUAACACCUCACACACAAGGUAACUGGGGACAGUAGACUCUCCCAUAACACCUCACACACAAGGUAACUGGGGACAGUAGACCCCCCCCCCCCAUAACACCUCAUACACAAGGUAACUGGGGAUAGUAGAUCUCCCCAUAACACCUAAUAAGCAUGGUAACUGGGGACAGUAGAUUAUUAUGUUGUAAAAUAUUAUUAUGCUGUUUGAAUUCAUAACAAGCACUGUUUCUAGCCAGUGUACAGUGCUGCCCACUGUUAGUGCUUUUUGCAGUUGUUAAAUUGGAGUAGUUUGGCUGGAGCAUGGUAGCCAAAUAUGAACCAAUCAGGUGCCCACUGAUGCCAUGUGACUGGCAGGUGAGGGACUCGGACUGUCUGUUAUAUUUUUCCUUGUGUUUGAAAGGCCAGUCAUUUUGCAGUCACUGUAUUACACAGACUGCGACUUCAAUGUUGCCUACAAGUUCAAAGCAGGAUAUCAUAGAAUGGGUACAUUUUCUGUGUUUCGGAGAUUUCUUAUUUCUUGUGGUAUGUACAUGGAUUGGUUUGUUUAGGGCUUGUUUUCCUUAUUUGAGGCCCUGUCCUUCUGUAUAAUCGAUGGCAAAAAGGAUUCUGGCAGGUUGAAGGCCUUUGUAUAGAAAGUGUGACUUUUGGUAUUGCUACUACGUUUUUUUUUUGAAGAAGAAGAAACUGGUUCAGCUUCUGUUUUGCGUCUGUGAGGUGUAGUUUGUGAAGAAGUAUUGAUGAAAUGGGGGCCAACCCAAGAGCAGUAAGUAGAAUUUUAGCAAAAACAAUCAGUGUCAGGAAAGCUUGGGCAAAGGUAUGAUUUAGUGGUAGGGUUAGGGAUGGCUGUUUGGAGAUUCAGGCAAUUAUCAUUGAUAAGGAGACUAAGUUUGAAUGGAACAUGAAUCGUAUAACUCAGCCUUUCCUACAUUGCCUUGAUCAUUUCCCCACUUAGAUAUCGCAGCACUGACUGGAUUGAGAUGCUUGAUUUCCACUGUAUCCCAAGCAUUUUUGCUUUCGGCAUGUGAGGAAGGUGAAGGAAAGUCUUUGUAAGCUGACUGGAAGUUUUACUUUUGCUUCUUGUGAUGUUUUUGCCCGGCAGAGAGGUUCAUGCUGAUAUUCCAGUCAUGAUAAUGCAUUCAAAUCAACAUGUGCUGAUGUGUUCCAAUUAGCACAAGGUGUAUAUCCUGAGGAGAGGAGAACUCCUUAAGAACAGCAGAAAAUGAUGAUACAGGCACCCAGGUAUACUUUUCUUGUUUAUGAUCUGCUGUAGUCUGGAAACUGCCUGGAAUUUUGUAGGAAUAAAUGGGAGAAAUCUUCAGCUGUUCAGUUUGUUUCAGGGUGAACCUUUUUUCCUGCAGUGCCUACAUACCACCAGGGGGAGCUGUUCUACUCAGCUUUUCCAAGGAAAUGUGAGGGAAUGUCUAAUAUCUGUAGUGUGGGGGUGUUAAACCAGCAUACUUCUUCACAGCACUCAGCACUGUGUUAUUCUUAAAAGCCCCGUGAUUUUUCCUUUUUUUAUGAAUUCUUCACACAUUUUUAUUGUAUUUUGUAAUACUUUUAAUAGCUACGGUCAUCUUUAGGUGAUUUAUUUCUAUUUUUGAGGAUGGUAAUUUGCUUUAGACUUCUUUCCCAUUUCUGUGAAAUAAGAGUGUUGGUUUCGCUAAUUAUUUUUAAAUCUCCAGUUUGUUUUAUUGUGAAAGAACAGUGACCUCUCUGGGAUAUUACAGGCAAUUACAGGGAUUACUUGUCUUUCAUUGGAUGGUUUCCAUUUUAUUUUUUUUAAUUCCUGUCUUUAGUUGCUUUUUAGGAGGAAAUUGAAAAAAAAAAUGUUAAUGGUCAUAUAUAGCCUCUCCCCAGGUUAUGAUGGGGUAAACCGAUAAAUUGAUCGUAAGGUGAAAAUGCAUUUUAGAGCAGUACACCUACCCCAGUGGUUCUCAGACUCGGUCCUCUGGCCCCACUGCCCUGCUUGUUUUCCAGCUCUCCCUGCCCUACACACUGCUGAUUACCUGGAUCAGGUGUGUUCAGUCAAUCAGAAGCUGAAAGACAGCUGGGACUUGUGUGUGGGGCAGGGAUAGCAGGAAAACAAGCAGGGUAGUGGGGCCCGAGGACCACCUUUGAGAACCACUGACCUAACAUAACAAACACCAUAGCCUAUCCUACCUUAAACAUGCUUAGAAUGUGUACAUUACCCUACAGUCGGGCAAAAUCAUUAACACAAAGCUUAUGUUAUAAUAAAGUUCUAAAUAUCUCACGUAAUUUAUUAAAUAAUGUACUGAAAGUGAAAAACAUUUACCCAUUGUUAAGUCGAGACAUCAUAACCUGGGAAGCGUCCGUAUUUAUCAAUCUCUCUGAAAUAUUGGUGCUAUAAUUCAUUUUUUUGACUUGAAAUAAGGGUGGUAUGGGGGUGCAGUGAUUAGCACUGUUGCCUCACACCUCUGGGCCCAUGGUUUGAGCCUCUGCCACGGCUGUAUGUGUGUGGAGUUUGCAUGCUCUCCCCGUGUCGUCGUGGGGUUUCCUCUGGGUACUCUGAGUUCCCCCCACAGUGCAAAAACCUGCUGAGGUUAAUUGGAGUUGCUAAAUUGUCCGUAGGUGUGAAUGGUGUGUGACUGUGCCCUGACAUGGAUUGGUGCCCCAUCCUGGGCUGUUCCCUGCCUUCUGCCAAUAGGCUCUGGACGCCCGUGACCCUGAAUAAGACGAGCUGUUUCAGGAAAGGAAUGGAUGGAUGGACUUGAAAUAUAUCUGGGGCAGCGAGAAGAGUCUUGCUUACAGGUUUGUUGAGCAGGACAUCAAGUCAGUCAGGACUUUGUUCCUCAGGGUGACAUCCUUGUGGUAGACAUUUUUAAAACCAUUGGUCUGACCAGCAGCAGGUUUUUGAAAUAUUACCUUCAUCCAGAAUUCUACUAAAAAAAACUGCAUGUAAGACAGCCGGUUUAUUUUUUUUCUGUAUUGAGCCAAAACUUUUGAUUUGUUUUAAAAUGAGCACAGUCUUUAUUUUUGUUUUUACGUUCAAUCAGAAAAUGAUUUCAGGUGUCAGACAACUGAAUGUGUGCUCAGCAGAUUACUCAACAAAACCUUUGUAAUAAGACUUGAUUUGUUUGCCAAAGCUUGAAGAGCAUUAUCCUCACCUGUACGACAUUUAUAUUCUAUUUUAGCAUUUUUAGCCAUGCUGUGUCCUGGGCUCUUGGUUUUUGUUUAUUUCUCCUUGCUGAAGUGGAUUUGACAGCCUUACUGCUGUCCCAGCUGUACUGACACCGUUCAGAAACUCGCGUUGCGCUGUUUCAGUAUGAUGUUCAUGUUUGUAACUCUCAUUCCGCAUAUCUUCAGGUGAACCUUCAUGUACCAUCAGUGGCAUUGAUGAAAGUGAGAACCGUGAUACCGAGGGAGUGCGAAAGUGCAGGAAAUAGAGAGGAAGGGACUACAUGCUGUAUCGUUUUGCCACCUUAAUGGAAGUUUUAUUAGGAUAUGUGGAGAUAAAGACAUAGAGAUUUAUAUGACGGCAAGUGACCGAGUUAAUUUGCUUGUAUUGGGGGCGAUAACCUGGACUCAUGUAAAUUCAUGCAUUUUGUUAUUCAGAAUAAUGUAACAAAUUAAAUACUUCGAUGUUCUCUUCGCGAUGGAUUUUAAAUGAUUUUCUGUAUGACCGUUUAAAGCACACCACGUGAUGGUUACACGGCUUUUGCUGAUCUUUUGCUUGUUACACCUGUGUGACCAAGCAAACUCAGUUUUCUAGGUAAUGUGUCAUCAGACAUAACCAAAUGAAAUGCUAUGGUGGAAAAUGAGAUACUUUGUAAGUCCUUCCUCUCUGACUGCCUCUCUCCCUCGGCAUUUGUGCUCCUAAUCGCUGUAGAUCCUGUGGACUACCUCUAAGACAAGGCACACUACCUCACCUCUUCCCAGAGCUGUUCCACCGCUGACCCAAAAUGAUCUAUUCCCCAACACAGCGCCAACGCAGCCUACAACCCCCGCAAAAGUCAGGCCUCCCUAACCCUAACCCUGCUCAAAUACUCUGUUUCAUGUCAGACGCUUCCUUAAGCUGUAACAUCCACGUGAACCUUUUCUAGGGGAACUUGAAUAUUUGAAUACAAUAUAUGUGUCCAUGGUUUGAUAAUAUAGUAAAUAUUAAACUAAUCAUACCAGAAAACAAAAAAAUGAGGCAACAAAAUGAGGUUCCUCAAGUCCUUGAAGGGACCGACUUCCAUGGGGGGAUGAGUUUGGCUUCAGGGGUGAGGUGGGGCUCUGGGAAAUGUGGGUCAGUGUGCCUCUGUACCCAAGUCACAGCCACAUACCUGUUCUCUUAAUACCUCAGCAAAGUCAGGAUACUCAUCUGUUCAUACGGUCAGUGCUGGGCCUGUGAGCCAGCCAGAGCAGCAUGAGAAUUUACGUAUAUAUUUUGGGAGAUGAUUUUAUGUGCUUGUUCCUGGCUGGCUGCAAUGCCAUGUUUUUAUAUGAAGAUUUUUUAUAUUUUUUAUAUUGUUGUUGCUAUUUGGGCGUGUUUUAUGGUUUGUGAUUUUUAAGUCUCUUAGUAAGUCUGCUAUAUAUGAAAGUAUUCCCUCUGAAUUUUGUUCUGUAGUGUAUCUUUACUUGAACUUAUAACCAUUUUUAUUUGACUGGUUUUGUGUUUUCCCUUAACAUUUUUAAUGCUUCUGUGUGAAUGGAGAUAGUAGUGAUUUUCCUUAUGCUUUCCUUAUGCAAUAAAAAUAUUUCUUAUGGAACAUUA